GGUUGUAGCUCAGUGGUAGAGUGCUUGCUUAGCACGUGUGAGGCACUGGGUUCAAUUCACUGCACCA
RNAcentral lists this transfer RNA (67 nucleotides) under Marmota monax (woodchuck). RNAcentral's name for it is "tRNA.Ala". The record is from RNAcentral. Lineage: Eukaryota; Metazoa; Chordata; Mammalia; Rodentia; Sciuridae.